This 158-nucleotide unclassified non-coding RNA is filed under the name soil metagenome. RNAcentral's name for it is "partial internal transcribed spacer 1". The record is from RNAcentral.
UAAUAAGUGUUUUAUGGCACUUUUUAAAUCCAUAUCCACCUUGUGUGCAAUGUCAGUCGGUUUUCUUUUUCGUCAAGAAAAAAAGGAUCGACCAAACAUCAGCUUAUUCUAAUUGAACUUUUGUCUGAAAACUAUUAUGAAUAAACUAAUUCAAAAUA